This 254-nucleotide ribosomal RNA is filed under the name uncultured bacterium. Its description in RNAcentral is "partial 16S ribosomal RNA". It matches the Rfam family "Bacterial small subunit ribosomal RNA", at positions 524 to 776 of the family's 1533-position model. The record is from RNAcentral.
UACGUAGGGUGCGAGCGUUGUCCGGAAUUAUUGGGCGUAAAGAGCUCGUAGGCGGUCUGUCACGUCGGCUGUGAAAUCCCGAGGCUCAACCUCGGGUCUGCAGUCGAUACGGGCAAACUAGAGUAUUGCAGGGGAGACUGGAAUUCCUGGUGUAGCGGUGAAAUGCGCAGAUAUCAGGAGGAACACCGGUGGCGAAGGCGGGUCUCUGGGCAAUAACUGACGCUGAGGAGCGAAAGCGUGGGGGAGCGAACAGG